AACACUGUUAACCUGCGGUACCUGCGGAAGGAUCAUUAUAGUAUAUGGAAUCUCCAUUCUAUAAACCCACUCUGCGUAUCUUGUAACUGUUGCUUCCAUGGGACUUGGUUCCGCCACACCGGCUUCACGGCUGGUGAGCGCCCAUGGAAGGAGAAACAAAACUCUUCUUUGAAAUGUAGUCAGUCUGAACAAGUUUUUAUAAACGUUAAAACUUUUAGCAACGGAUCUCAGAUCGGAAGA
This 240-nucleotide unclassified non-coding RNA is filed under the name soil metagenome. Its description in RNAcentral is "partial contains 5.8S ribosomal RNA, internal transcribed spacer 2, and large subunit ribosomal RNA". The record is from RNAcentral.